RNAcentral lists this ribosomal RNA (409 nucleotides) under uncultured bacterium. Its description in RNAcentral is "bacterial SSU rRNA". It matches the Rfam family "Bacterial small subunit ribosomal RNA", at positions 28 to 415 of the family's 1533-position model. The record is from RNAcentral.
GACGAACGCUGGCGGCGCGCCUAACACAUGCAAGUCGAACGGAGCGUACUGUGUGAAGCCCUUCGGGGCGGAACUUUGUAUUGCUUAGUGGCGAACGGGUGAGUAACACGUGAGCAACCUGCCCUAGAGUGGGGGACAACAUUUGGAAACGAAUGCUAAUACCGCAUAAGACCACGGUGUCACAUGACACAGCGGCCAAAGGAUUUAUUCGCUUUAGGAUGGGCUCGCGUCUGAUUAGCUAGAUGGUGGGGUAACGGCUCACCAUGGCGACGAUCAGUAGCCGGACUGAGAGGUCGAUCGGCCACAUUGGGACUGAGAUACGGCCCAGACUCCUACGGGAGGCAGCAGUGAGGAAUAUUGGUCAAUGGACGCAAGUCUGAACCAGCCAUGCCGCGUGCAGGAUGACGGC